This 229-nucleotide long non-coding RNA is filed under the name Elaeis guineensis (African oil palm). RNAcentral's name for it is "long non-coding RNA (EGUI_LNC068489)". Lineage: Eukaryota; Viridiplantae; Streptophyta; Magnoliopsida; Arecales; Arecaceae. The record is from RNAcentral.
GUUUGGUUACAAGAUGGUUUCCCCAAGAUUCUAAAGUAGAAUCCCUCCAAUGGUGAUCCACAUGGAAAAUGAUUAAGGUCCUUCCCAACCAAUAUAGUGCUGCAGUCUUUUCUUUAUAAGAACACUACGGGCUUCCUUCAUAAGGAUCGAUCACACUACCACCUGUACGCUUUCGAUUCCUCCACUAGGAUCAUGCCAAGAGCCUCUUCUCAAGAGAUCUCACUACCCA